GGACCAAACAGCCCUGACGCGGGGCCUCGGCUAGGUCGUCCUGUCCCGGCAUCUGUGUGAAUUAAUGAAGACACCUCUUCUUUAUGCAGAAGCUGCCUGCCAAGAGCUCCAACUUGGAAAGGUUUACUGAGCGCUCACUCAGGGGACGUAUGGUGCUGACUCGAGGCAUAUAACCAGAUAGAAGGCUGAACGCCAUGGUUUGCCCCAUAGAGUAGCCGUGGGCAGCAAACUUGGAUUCAUACAGCUGUCCGAGAAAGUUCCUGAUGAAGAAGUGAAUUUAGAUCCACCCUUGAAAAAGAGGAAGGCACAAGGAAGAAAAGUGC
This 323-nucleotide long non-coding RNA is filed under the name Equus asinus (donkey). Its description in RNAcentral is "lncRNA (ENSEASG00005029363.1)". The record is from RNAcentral. Lineage: Eukaryota; Metazoa; Chordata; Mammalia; Perissodactyla; Equidae.